UGUCAACCACCUUCAAUAGGUUUGAUCAAUGGUGCUGACGACUAUUUUAGGAUUUAUGAUUUUUUAAAUGGAAUUGGGACUAGUUGGGUGAAAAGUUUUGAGAAUCUGGGUGUAGAAUACUUUUAGCUCUGAUACCAAUUUGAUGUAGGAUAAAUAUGGUUGAUUUAAGCUAAUUGGGGAUUAAGGACAAAAAAACCUAGAUAUCACAUCUAAAGUUUCUUAGACAUCACAUCU
RNAcentral lists this long non-coding RNA (234 nucleotides) under Carica papaya (papaya). RNAcentral's name for it is "long non-coding RNA (CPAP_LNC015807)". The record is from RNAcentral. Lineage: Eukaryota; Viridiplantae; Streptophyta; Magnoliopsida; Brassicales; Caricaceae.